This 68-nucleotide transfer RNA is filed under the name Gorilla gorilla gorilla (western lowland gorilla). It matches the Rfam family "tRNA". Rfam says of the family: Transfer RNA (tRNA) molecules are approximately 80 nucleotides in length. Their secondary structure includes four short double-helical elements and three loops (D, anti-codon, and T loops). The record is from Rfam by way of RNAcentral. Lineage: Eukaryota; Metazoa; Chordata; Mammalia; Primates; Hominidae.
GCAUUGGUUCGGUGGUAGAAUUCUCGCCUGCCACGCGGGAGGCCCGGGUUUGAUUCCCGGCCAAUGCA